GAGGGCGGUUCCCGUGUCCCGUGGCUGAGGCGGAGCCCCGCGUGCUUGCGGCUGUCCGCCUGGCCGGCCGCCUUGCCGGGUGGCCUCUACCUCUGCCACCUGCGUGGGGCUCCGCGCGGGAGACCGAGAGGCCACGCCAUGGUAACGGUGUGGAAGGCUGGACAACAACUCAUGGUGUAGUCCAGGCCAGCCUCAAAGUCAUGACAACCUACCUGCCUAGUCUUCUGAGGACUGCCAUCACAGACAUGCACAAACACGUCUGGCUAUUAAUUCAGCUCUUUAUGAGAGGAGUUCAGGUAUCCCAGGCUGUCUCAACCUUCCUUCAAGAAAUAUAUGUGUGGUCAUUAAGGAGGCAGUGACCUUUGAGGACAUGGCUGUGAGCUUCACCAUGGAGGAGUGGGAUUUCCUGAGUGCGUCACAAAAAAAAAGCUCUACAGAGAUGUGAUGCGGGAGACCGUUAGGAACAUGGCUGCUAUGGGAAUAGCUUUGGAUAACCAAGAAGUGGAAGAAGACUACAAAGCUUACUGGAGAAAUCUAAGAAAUGAAGAGGUAGACAAAUGCUAUCAAUAUAAAGCUUGUAAUCAAUACAGAGAAAUAUUCUUUUGGACUCAAGAUGCUAAUUUGGACAUGAAAAAAGCUGAUUUAAAUCCAGCUGAAAACUUUGCCUGUAAAAAAUUUCUGAGUGGGCAUUUGUCACUAAACGUGCCCAUCAUAGCUCACACUGCACUGAAGCCAUAUGAAUAUUUGAGAUCUGAAGAGAAGCUGUAUAAAUGCAAUGAAAAUGGAAGAACCUGCAGUAAUUUCCAGUCCUCUCAGAAGCAUACAUGGAAAAAGUCCAUAGAGAAACCUUAUAAAUGUGGUCAACAUAGGAAAUCCUACCCUCAUCUUAGCGAGAGAAUUCACCUUGGAGAGAAGACCUUUGUAUGUAAGAAAACUUUAGUAGGCUCCAGCACAUAUAAUGCUCAGAUCCAUGAAAGAAAUCACAGAGGGAAGAGACCCUAUGUAUGUAAGCAAUGUGGGCAAACGUUCAGUAAACACAAUCAUCGCCAGGUGCAUGAAAAAACUCACGCUGGUGAGAAGCCCUUUACAUGUAAGCAGUGUGAUAAAGCUUUCAGCACAUACCAUGUUUGUACAAGACAUGAAGCAAGUCAUACAGGAGAGAAACCCUAUAUAUGUAAAUAAUGUGGGAAGGCAUUCAGUACACACAGUUAUAGUCAAGUACAUGAAAGGACUCACACCGAGGAGAAACCCUAUGUGUGUAAGCAAUGUUGGAAAGCUUUCAGUACACAUAGUCACUGCCAAGUACGUGAAAGAACUCACACUGGGGAGAAGCCCUAUGUAUGCAAGCAGUAUGGGAAAGCUUUUGGUACACUUUGUGAUUGUCAAGUCCAUAAAAGAAGUCACACUGGAGAGAAACCCUAUGUAUGUCAACAGUGUGGGAAAGCAUUCAGUACACACAGUUAUUGUCAAAUACAUGGAAGGACACACACUGGGGAGAAGCCUUAUGUGUGUAAGCAGUGUGGGAAAGCAUUCAAUACACGCAGUCAUUGCAAGAUACAUGAAAGAACUCACAGUGGGGAGAAACCCUGUAUGUGUAAGCAAUGUGGGAAAGCUUUCAGCACACGCCGUUAUUGUAAAAUACACGAAAGAACUCAUACUGAGGAGGCACACUAUGUAUGUAAGCAUUGUGCAAAAGUUUCCGCACACAUUGUGAUUGUCAAAGACAUGAAAGAAUUCACACAGGGGAGAAACCCUAUGUAUGCAAGUAAUGUGGGAAAGCAUUCAGAACAUGCAAUAAUUGUCAAGUGCAUGAAAGAACUCAUACUGGGGAAAACCCUAUGUGUGUAAGCAAUGUGGGAAAGCUUUCAGCACACAUAGUCAUUAUCAAAGACAUGAAAGAAUUCACACUGGGGAGAAGCCCUUUGUAUGUAAACAGUGUGGGAAAGCUUUUAGCACACGUGGUGCUUAUCAAAAACAUGAAAGAACUCACACUGGUGAGAAACCCUAUGUGUGUAAGUAAUGUGGGAAAGCAUUCAGUACACGUACUUAUUGUCAAAUACACAAAAGCAGUCACACUGGGGAGAAACUCUAUGUACGUAAGCAAUGUGGAAAAGGAAAAGUAAGUUCUCACUUUGUAGACAUAAAAGAACUCACACUAGGGAGAAACCCUAUGUGUGUAAGCAGUGUGGGAAAGCUUUUAGUACACAUGGUGAUUGUCAAAAACAUGAAAACACUCAUACUGGGGACGAACUUUAUGUAGGUAAGUAAUGUGGGAAAGCUUUUGGCACUCAAUAAAUGGCUUACCCUGACAGCACAUGUCUUUUGCUUUCCUGGCCUUUUUGUAGGUACAUACUUGACAUCUCAGUGACCUUGCCAUUUUGUCAGGAGAUCCUUAUUAUACUGUGUGUAGUUAACAGAAACAAAAUAUCAAUAAAAUUACUAAAUUCUUAA
RNA transcript from Cavia porcellus (domestic guinea pig), 2451 nucleotides. It is a transcript of the gene named zinc finger protein 670-like, with no coding region annotated. The record is from RefSeq and is a predicted model, not a curated record. NCBI's taxonomy places the organism in Eukaryota, Metazoa, Chordata, Mammalia, Rodentia, Caviidae. The transcript is spliced from 4 exons.